This 113-nucleotide non-coding RNA is filed under the name Klebsiella pneumoniae. Its description in RNAcentral is "6S RNA". It matches the Rfam family "6S / SsrS RNA". From Rfam's summary of the family: E. coli 6S RNA was the first non coding RNA to be sequenced, but its function was unknown until recently. It consists of 184 nucleotides that fold into an extended hairpin structure with a large single-stranded internal bulge. The record is from RNAcentral. Lineage: Bacteria; Pseudomonadati; Pseudomonadota; Gammaproteobacteria; Enterobacterales; Enterobacteriaceae.
AUUUCUCUGAGAUGUUUGCAAGCGGGCCAGUCCCCUGAGCCGAUAUUUCAUACCACAAGAAUGUGGCGCAAGGGUUCAAGGGUUACAGCCUGCGGCGGCAUCUCGGAGAUUCC